CCCUUAGAUGUCCUGGGCUGCACGCGCGCUACACUGAUGUGUCCAGUAAGCACCUAACCUCUUCCGAAAGGAACGGGUAACCUUUGCAAAGCACAUCGUGAUGGGGAUAGAUUAUUGCAAUUAUUAGUCUUGAACGAGGAAUUCCUAGUAAGCACAAGUCAUCAGCUUGUGUUGAUUACGUCCCUGCCCUUUGUACACACCGCCCGUCGCUACUACCGAUUGAAUGGCUUAGUGAGGUCUUCGGACUGGACUUCGGGGAGCCGGCAACGGCACCCUGUCGCUGGGAAGUUGAUCAAACUUGGUCAUUUAGAGGAAGUAAAAGUCGUAACA
This 330-nucleotide ribosomal RNA is filed under the name uncultured eukaryote. Its description in RNAcentral is "partial 18S ribosomal RNA". It matches the Rfam family "Eukaryotic small subunit ribosomal RNA", at positions 1470 to 1796 of the family's 1831-position model. The record is from RNAcentral.